RNAcentral lists this ribosomal RNA (17 nucleotides) under Alternaria alternata. Its description in RNAcentral is "partial 18S ribosomal RNA". RNAcentral also lists the same sequence under 2 other names. The record is from RNAcentral. Lineage: Eukaryota; Fungi; Ascomycota; Dothideomycetes; Pleosporales; Pleosporaceae.
UGCGGAGGGAUCAUUAC